AACCAGUACCGUGAGGGAAAGGCGAAAAGAACCCCGGCGAGGGGAGUGAAAAAGAACCUGAAACCGUGUACGUACAAGCAGUGGGAGCACGCUUAGGCGUGUGACUGCGUACCUUUUGUAUAAUGGGUCAGCGACUUAUAUUCUGUAGCAAGGUUAACCGAAUAGGGGAGCCGAAGGGAAACCGAGUCUUAACUGGGCGUUAAGUUGCAGGGUAUAGACCCGAAACCCGGUGAUCUAGCCAUGGGCAGGUUGAAGGUUGGGUAACACUAACUGGAGGACCGAACCGACUAAUGUUGAAAAAUUAGCGGAUGACUUGUGGCUGGGGGUGAAAGGCCAAUCAAACCGGGAGAUAGCUGGUUCUCCCCGAAAGCUAUUUAGGUAGCGCCUCGUGAAUUCAUCUCCGGGGGUAGAGCACUGUUUCGGCAAGGGGGUCAUCCCGACUUACCAACCCGAUGCAAACUGCGAAUACCGGAGAAUGUUAUCACGGGAGACACACGGCGGGUGCUAACGUCCGUCGUGAAGAGGGAAACAACCCAGACCGCCAGCUAAGGUCCCAAAGUCAUGGUUAAGUGGGAAACGAUGUGGGAAGGCCCAGACAGCCAGGAUGUUGGCUUAGAAGCAGCCAUCAUUUAAAGAAAGCGUAAUAGCUCACUGGUCGAGUCGGCCUGCGCGGAAGAUGUAACGGGGCUAAACCAUG
This 697-nucleotide ribosomal RNA is filed under the name Escherichia coli. RNAcentral's name for it is "partial 23S ribosomal RNA". It matches the Rfam family "Bacterial large subunit ribosomal RNA", at positions 493 to 1191 of the family's 2925-position model. The record is from RNAcentral. Lineage: Bacteria; Pseudomonadati; Pseudomonadota; Gammaproteobacteria; Enterobacterales; Enterobacteriaceae.